Long non-coding RNA from Esox lucius (northern pike), 423 nucleotides. NCBI's taxonomy places the organism in Eukaryota, Metazoa, Chordata, Actinopteri, Esociformes, Esocidae. The record is from Ensembl.
AGCUGGAGGGCACGUGAGACUGGGCAUCAGUCCAGCUGUUCAGUGUGUGGCCAGGGACUGGCAAACCCAGUCUCUUUGAACUGUGGACACAGAGCGUGCCAACAGUGUGUCAGCUUCCAUUGGGACCAGCCUGGUCCACCAGGGGAUCCUGGAUGCCCCCGGUGUGGAAAGAGAUCCAGAACACACCCUGAACCGAAUCUACAUCUGCAAAAUCUUGAAGACCAGCAUGAAAAGAAACAUGGAGCAGCUUCAGUCCCUAACUCCAUUAGUGCCCGGGAUGGAGGCACCGUCAUUGCACCAUUUAUCUAUAACUCCACAGUGAGGGACAUCGUCAUCACUUUGCCAAAAACAGAAGCACCACAAAGCAGUUCCACUCAAAAAUGUGAGUUGGGUAUCUAUCUAUUAGACCAGCCUCGGUCUACC